RNAcentral lists this transfer RNA (72 nucleotides) under Candidatus Pacearchaeota archaeon. RNAcentral describes it as "tRNA-Thr". It matches the Rfam family "tRNA". From Rfam's summary of the family: Transfer RNA (tRNA) molecules are approximately 80 nucleotides in length. Their secondary structure includes four short double-helical elements and three loops (D, anti-codon, and T loops). Further hydrogen bonds mediate the characteristic L-shaped molecular structure. tRNAs have two regions of fundamental functional importance: the anti-codon, which is responsible for specific mRNA codon recognition, and the 3' end, to which the tRNAs corresponding amino acid is attached (by aminoacyl-tRNA synthetases). tRNAs cope with the degeneracy of the genetic code in two manners: having more than one tRNA (with a specific anti-codon) for a particular amino acid; and 'wobble' base-pairing, i.e. permitting non-standard base-pairing at the 3rd anti-codon position. The record is from RNAcentral. Lineage: Archaea; Nanobdellati.
GCCUGUGUAGCUCAGUGGUAGAGCACUUGACUUGUAAUCAAGGGGUCGGGAGUUCAAAUCUCUCCACAGGCU